CCCCCCCCCGGGAUGGAGGAGCUGCCCAGUUAGGUCGGCCCUGGGGACCGGAGGGGCCCCGGGGGGCCAGGGCCGGGCUGGGGAACUGGGCCGGGCUGGGUGUCUGCAAAGUGUAACUCGGAGCUGGGGCUGGGGGGUGGGGGGCGAGGGGGGUUGCGCCCCGCUUGGAGCAGCUCAGGCAGCUCUGGGCUUGUUGUGGUUUGUUGUUUGUUCGGAUCACUGAGUGGGCUUCCUGGGGGAGGGAGGGGUCCUCACUUUCUUCUCGGCCGCGUGAGAAGCCCUGGAGGUUCCCCAGGAUUCCGAGGGCAGGUGUUCCCGGGUCGGUGAAAGGGCUUCGGCCUGGGCGGGCCGGUGGGGUAGCUGUAGAGCGAGGGGGACACCUCGGGACUUCGCUCGGGGCUUGGGAAAGGGCCGCUUGCCUCCGGGUCGCCGACCAGUGGCGCCAGGGUGCCCCGAAGAGCCCUGCGCCGCGGCCCAUCCCCUCUCCCCCGCCGCCGAGCUCUCACACCCCGCGGGCCCCCCGCGUCCUCCCCGGGGCCGUCGCGCCCCUGGCUGCCGUCUGGGUUGGCGCUCAAGUCCCCCGCAGCUGGGCGAAAGGCACUGCCGACCCCAUUUCACAGAUGGCAAACCGAGGCUCGAAGAGCUGCGCCCAGCCGGGACUGCCCUGGCCGAGUCCUCCCGGGGGCGCCUGGGUGGCUCAGUGGUGAGCGGCUGCUUCGGCUCAGACUGAUCCGCGGGCGGGGGAUCGAGUCCCGCAUCGGGGUCCCCGCAGGGAGCCUGCUUCUCCCUUGGCCUGUGUCUCUGCCUCUCUCUGNAAAAAUCUUAAAAAAAAAAAAAAAAAGAAAAGAAAAGAAGAAGAAUCUUCCCAGCCCGAGACCUCGGGGUCACAUCUGUCCCUUGUCCAGCCCCGGAGCCCUUCAUUCCUCUCCUCCUUUCCCUCAAGAAGGACUUGGAAGUGCCUUUUUCAAAACUGGCACCUGUACUCAGCUGUAGGGGUCCCUAUAUGGGCAGGACUGUGAGGACUCUUGCAUGGGGGCAUGGAGGUUAGGGUGGGGGUGGCUGGGAGAGCUUGGUGGGGAGACACUUCUGGUUGCAUCCCCUUUUCUAAACUCUAGAGGCUGCUGUAUUUCUGCAACCUACAGGCAACAUUUUUGAAACAGCAGCAGAUAAGAUGUUUUCCAGUGGUUUUUCCACAAGGCUGCUAAGGGGUGUGUAGUUCAGUUGCAGGAACUAGUUUUAUUUGUGACUGUGGCCAAGGCAUUUCUGGGAACAUAAACUUGCUACAAAACAGAAUCACCUAAAAGGCUUGUUCAGAUAUCCUGAGUCUCUGAUUCUGAGGUGGGGCCCAAGAAUCUCCCAUUCUAACAAGUUCCUCAAUGAUGCGCCUGCGGGUGAGCCCCUGAACGCACUUUAAGAACCACUGCUAUAGAAUUUCCCUGUGGUAAGCCAGUGACUUAAUACCCUUCCUUCCAUCCACUUAAUUAAUAAUUAAUAUUUAUUGAACAGUUGCUUUGUGCCAAGCAUUGGGGAUGCAGCAUGAACAAUGAUGACAAUAUGAUGGGGGGGCAGAAAAAACAAGUAAACAGACAACCCCCUAGUGAUUCUGAUGUAUUUGGGGGACUAUCGG
Vulpes vulpes (red fox) is the source of this 1627-nucleotide long non-coding RNA. The record is from Ensembl. NCBI's taxonomy places the organism in Eukaryota, Metazoa, Chordata, Mammalia, Carnivora, Canidae.